Molecule: non-coding RNA, 81 nt
Filed under: uncultured Muribaculum sp.
Lineage: Bacteria; Pseudomonadati; Bacteroidota; Bacteroidia; Bacteroidales; Muribaculaceae
Source: RNAcentral
CAAAGGGGUGCCCGUCGUCGUGACGAGCUGAGAUUAUACCCUCCGAACCUGACACGGCUAACACCGGCGAAGGGAUUGUUG